This 466-nucleotide ribosomal RNA is filed under the name uncultured bacterium. RNAcentral's name for it is "partial 16S ribosomal RNA". It matches the Rfam family "Bacterial small subunit ribosomal RNA", at positions 330 to 793 of the family's 1533-position model. The record is from RNAcentral.
UCCAGACUCCUACGGGAGGCAGCAGUGAGGAAUAUUGGUCAAUGGGCUUACGCCUGGACCAGCCAAGUCGCGUGAGGGAAGACUGCCCUAUGGGUUGUAAACCUCUUUUGUCAGGGAGCAAUUGGCGCUACGUGUAGCGUUAUCGAGAGUACCUGAAGAAAAAGCAUCGGCUAACUCCGUGCCAGCAGCCGCGGUAAUACGGAGGAUGCGAGCGUUAUCCGGAUUUAUUGGGUUUAAAGGGUGCGUAGGCGGACGCUUAAGUCAGCGGUCAAAUCGUGGGGCUCAACCCCAUCCAGCCGUUGAAACUGGGGAUCUAGAGUGUGCGAGAGGUAUGCGGAAUGCGUGGUGUAGCGGUGAAAUGCAUAGAUAUCACGCAGAACCCCGAUUGCGAAGGCAGCAUACCGGUGCACAACUGACGCUCAGGCACGAAAGCGUGGGUAUCGAACAGGAUUAGAUACCCUAGUAA